This 253-nucleotide ribosomal RNA is filed under the name uncultured bacterium. Its description in RNAcentral is "partial 16S ribosomal RNA". It matches the Rfam family "Bacterial small subunit ribosomal RNA", at positions 524 to 776 of the family's 1533-position model. The record is from RNAcentral.
UACGGGGGGGGCAAGCGUUGUUCGGAAUUACUGGGCGUAAAGGGUUCGUAGGUGGCCAACUAAGUCAGACGUGAAAUCCCUCAGCUUAACUGGGGAACUGCGUCCGAUACUGGUUGGCUUGAGUUUGGGAGAGGGAUGCGGAAUUCCAGGUGUAGCGGUGAAAUGCGUAGAUAUUCGGAGGAACACCAGUGGCGAAGGCGGCUCACUGGCUCGAUACUGACGCUGAGGUGCGAAAGCGUGGGGAGCAAACAGG